UGGUAGUNCACGCCGUAAACGAUGAGUGCUAGGUGUUAGGCCCUUUCCGGGGCUUAGUGCCGGAGCUAACGCAAUAAGCACUCCGCCUGGGGAGUACGACCGCAAGGUUGAAACUCAAAGGAAUUGACGGGGGCCCGCACAAGCGGUGGAGCAUGUGGUUUAAUUCGAAGCAACGCGAAGAACCUUACCAGGUCUUGACAUCCCGAUGCUAUUCUUAGAGAUAGGAAGUUACUUCGGUACAUCGGAGACAGGUGGUGCAUGGUUGUCGUCAGCUCGUGUCGUGAGAUGUUGGGUUAANNNNCGCAACGAGCGCAACCCUUAUUGUUAGUUGCCAUCAUUAAGUUGGGCACUCUAGCGAGACUGCCGGUAAUAAACCGGAGGAAGGUGGGGAUGACGUCAAAUCAUCAUGCCCCUUAUGACCUGGGCUACACACGUGCUACAAUGGUCGGUACAACGAGUUGCGAGCCGGUGACGGCAAGCUAAUCUCUGAAAGCCGAUCUCAGUUCGGAUUGGAGGCUGCAACUCGCCUCCAUGAAGUCGGAAUCGCUAGUAAUCGCGGAUCAGCACGCCGCGGUGAAUACGUUCCCGGGCCU
This 593-nucleotide ribosomal RNA is filed under the name uncultured bacterium. RNAcentral's name for it is "bacterial SSU rRNA". It matches the Rfam family "Bacterial small subunit ribosomal RNA", at positions 788 to 1381 of the family's 1533-position model. The record is from RNAcentral.